GGCUGUUCUCAGGUGACACACCCCAGAAUCAGGCUCCCUCCUCUCUGCGUCACCCGAGAACCGCA
This is a non-coding RNA of Myotis lucifugus (little brown bat), 65 nucleotides long. The record is from Rfam. Lineage: Eukaryota; Metazoa; Chordata; Mammalia; Chiroptera; Vespertilionidae.